UACGUAGGGUGCGUGCGUUUUCCGGAAUUAUUGGGCGUAAAGAGCUCGUAGGCGGUCUGUCGCGUCGAUCGUGAAAACUUGGGGCUUAACCCUGAGCUUGCGGUCGAUACGGGCAUGACUGGAGUUCGGCAGGGGAGACUGGAAUUCCUGGUGUAGCGGUGAAAUGCGCAGAUAUCAGGAGGAACACCGGUGGCGAAGGCGGAUCUCUGGGCCUUACCUGACGCUCAGGUGCGAAAGCUAGGGGAGCGAACAGG
Molecule: ribosomal RNA, 254 nt
Filed under: uncultured bacterium
Lineage: Bacteria
Description: partial 16S ribosomal RNA
Rfam family: Bacterial small subunit ribosomal RNA
Source: RNAcentral